Molecule: ribosomal RNA, 7734 nt
Filed under: Triticum aestivum (bread wheat)
Lineage: Eukaryota; Viridiplantae; Streptophyta; Magnoliopsida; Poales; Poaceae
Description: partial small subunit ribosomal RNA
Source: RNAcentral
AUGGACUUCGCCAGCCGCCACACCGCCGCGGCCCCGCCGGCCAACGCCGGGGCCGACGCCUCCUCCUCCGCCGUCACCGAGGAGCCCGAGUACCUCGCCAGGUACUUCGUCGUCAAGCACUCGUGGCGGGGGAGGUACCGCCGGAUCCUCUGCAUCGCCGCCUCGGGCGUCGUCACGCUCGACCCGACCACGCUCGCCGUCACCAACUCCUACGACUUCGCCGCAGACUUCGACCGCGCGGCGCCCGACCCCAACGGCGCCGCCGAAUUCUCGCUCAGCGUCCGCUCUGACGGCAAGGGCAAGUUCAAGGCCAUGCGCUUCUCCUCGCCGCUCCGCGCCGGGAUCCUCACCGAGCUCCACCGCCUGCGCCCCGUGCACCCGGUUGUCGAGUUCCCCGUCCUCCACCUCCGCCGCCGCACCCAAGAGUGGGCACCCUUCAAAAUUAAGGUCACUUCAUUGGGAAUUGAGCUCCUUGAAGUACACUCUGGUAAUCUACGCUGGUGCUUGGACUUUAGAGAUAUGGAUUCUCCUGCUAUCUUGCUCUUGGGGGAUAAUUAUGGGAGGAGGAGCGCUGAAGGCGGAGGGUUUGUGCUAUGCCCCCUUUAUGGAAGGAAGUCGAAAGCAUUUAUGGCUGCAUCAGGCAGUACAAACACUCUGAUUAUAUCAUCUUUGACAAAAACUGCCAAGUCAGCAAUUGGACUAUCACUCUCCAUUGACAAUUCUCAGUCAAUGACAGCUGCUGACUUCAUAGCAAGGAGAGCUAAUGAGGCAGUUGGAGCUGCUGAAACUCGGCAUGGAGAAUGGUCAGUAAUAAGAUUACGUCCUGCUGCACAUGGCACUGCCUGUAUUGAGAGCUUGAGUUUGGGUGUUGGACCACGGGGAGGACUUGGAGAACAGGGUGAUUCUGUUUCUCGGCAGCUCGUUCUUACAAACACAUCACUUGUGGAAAGGCGCCCUGAGAAUUAUGAGGCUACUAUUGUCCGGCCUCUAUCAGCAGUAAGUGCCCUUGUACGAUUUGCAGAAGAGCCGCAGAUGUUUGCAUUCGAAUUCAAUGAUGGUUGCCCGAUUCAUGUAUAUGCAAGUACGUCCCGUGAUAAUUUAAUUGCAACAGUUGUUGAUGUUUUACAAACCCAGAGGCAAUGUGCAAUUCCAGUGCUGCCAAGGUUGACUAUGCCUGGUCAUCGUAUAGAUCCACCUUGUGGGGUUGCCCAUCUUCAGAUACCUCAAAAUGCUACUGUUGAUAUGGAAGCUGCUAACAUGUACGUAAAACAUUUAGCUGUGGUCGCGAAAGAGGCUGUAGCUUCAUCUGACACUGUUCCGGGAGCAAAAAUCAGAUUAUGGCGUAGAAUAAGGGAGUUUAAUGCAUGUAUACCAUAUACCGGAGUGCCCAUCAAUAUUGAAGUGCCUGAGGUGGUCCUAAUGGCUUUAAUUAGUCUUCUUCCAGCCACCCCGCAAAAUCUUCCUGCUGAUGCUCCACCUCUUCCGCCUCCAUCACCAAAAGCAGCAGCAACAAUAAUGGGGUUCGUUGCAUGCUUACGGAGGCUACUUACAUCAAGAAGUGUGUCAUCACAUGUGAUGGCAUUUCCUGUUGCUGUUGGGAGAAUAAUGGGUUUGCUUAGGAAUGGCUCAGAGGGAGUGGCAGCUGAGGCUGCUGGGCUUGUGGCUAUGCUAAUUGGUGGUGGUCCUGGUGAUACAUCGAUGUUGAUGGAUACGAGGGGAGAAUCCCAUGCUACCUACAUGCAUGCAAAGUCUGUACUGUUUGCACAACCGAUCUAUGUUCCAGUCCUUGUUAGCAGAUUGAAGCCAUUAUCAGUUUCACCAUUACUUUCUCUGUCUGUUGUGGAAAUCCUUGAAGCUAUGCUUUGUGAUCCCCAUGGUGAAACAACCCAACAUGCUACAUUUGUUGAGUUACUACGUCAAGUUGCUGGUUUGCGCCGUCGGUUGUUUGCCUUAUUUGCGCACCCUGCUGAAAGUGUAAGAGAGACCAUUUCAGUUAUUAUGCGUACAAUCGCUGAGGAAGAUGCAAUAGCAGCAGAGUCUAUGCGUGAUGCUGCCUUGAAGGAUGGUGCGCUUCUGAGGCAUUUGUUAAAUGCUUUCUUCUUCCCUGCCGGUGAGCGGCGUGAUGUUAGUCGGCAGCUUGUUGCUCUGUGGGCCGAUUCUUAUCAACCUGCGCUGGAUUUGCUGUCCAGAAUACUUCCUCCUGGACUUGUUGCUUAUCUUCAUACGAGGUCAGAUGAAGAUUCUCAGAACCAGUAUGACGAAGUACCGCUAAGCAGAAGGCAGAAGCGGAUACUUCAGCAGAGGAGGGCUCUUGGUGGUAAGAACAUGGAAACACCAGAACAAGGAAUGCCCCCCAAUAGUGUUGAUGAUGCAGAUUUCUUCAGGCACACCAGUGUGGGUCCUUAUGGAGGAGCAGAUGUCAAUCAGAGGCAUGCCGGCCAGUACUCAACCGUCCACACCCCUUCUCCUGCUAUGAGUAUUGACCCUUCUCAUGCAGUUCCACAUGGUGCUGUACCUCAGUCUGUUUCUGAAAAUCAUCAACUUGGAACACCACAGCUGGAUUCACACACUUAUUCAGUGGACCCCACUGCUAAUGGUGACCUUAUUGAGUCCUCACAUUCAGAUUUCUCAGUACCUGCACAGAUUGUGGUGGAAAACACUCCUGUGGGAUCUGGCAGGCUACUAUGUAAUUGGUUUGGAUUUUGGAGAGCAUUUGGUCUAGAUCACAAUAGAGCAGAUUUGAUAUGGAAUGAACGCACAAGGCAAGAAUUAAGGGAAGCGUUGCAAACUGAAGUUCAUAACCUUGAUGUUGAGAAAGAAAGAACCGAUGAUAUUGACCCUGGAAGUUCGGUAAGUGAGGAUGAUGGUGGUAGUGACACCUUACCGCGAAUUUCAUGGAACUAUGCUGAAUUUUUUGUCAGCUACCCUAGCUUGUCUAAAGAAGUCUGUGUUGGGCAAUAUUACUUACGGUUGCUGCUUGAAAGUGGAAGUAAUUACCGAGCACAGGAUUUUCCACUACGUGACCCUGUUGCUUUUUUUAGAGCUCUGUACCAUCGUUUCUUGUGUGAUGCGGAUGUUGGUCUAACUGUGGAUGGUGCAGUUCCUGAUGAACUGGGUUCGUCUGAUGAUUGGUGUGACAUGGGAAGGUUGGAUGGGUUUGGUGGGGGUGGAGGUUCCUCAGUAAGAGAGCUUUGUUCAAGGGCAAUGGCUAUAGUUUAUGAGCAACAUUACAAAGUUAUUGGGCCUUUUGAUGGCACAGCACAUAUUACAGUUCUCUUAGACAGAACAGAUGAUAGGGCUUUAAGACACCGAUUGCUACUUCUGUUAAAGGCCUUCAUGAAUGACCUUUCAAAUGUUGAAGCAUGUGUUCUUGUUGGAGGCUGUGUUUUGGCUGUUGAUUUGUUAACUGUUGCUCAUGAAGCAUCUGAGCGGACAGCUAUUCCUCUACAGUCUAAUCUCAUUGCAUCAACCGCAUUUAUGGAGCCUUCAAAAGAGUGGAUGUAUAUUGACAACGAUGGUACAAAAGUUGGUCCACUUGAAAAGGAUGCUAUUAGAAGGCUGUGGUCAAAGAAGUCAAUUGAUUGGACAACAAAAUGUUGGGCCUCCAGUAUGUCUGACUGGAAAAGAUUACGUGACAUUCGAGAGCUGCGUUGGGCACUUUCUGUUAGGACACCUGUUCUGACUUCUAGUCAGAUUGCGGAUGCUGCCUUGUCUAUAUUGCAUAGUAUGGCAUCUGCACAUUCUGAUCUUGAUGAUGCGGGAGAGAUAGUGACCCCAACUCCUAGGGUGAAACGUAUAUUGUCAAGUCCAAGAUGCCUUCCUCAUGUUGCUCAGGCCAUGCUUACUGGGGAACCAAGCAUUGUUGAAGUAUCUGCCUCUUUUCUUAAGGCUAUUGUCACAAGAAACCCCAAAGCUAUGAUUCGAUUAUAUAGUACUGGUGCCUUUUACUUUGCAUUGGCAUACCCUGGUUCAAACCUUCUAUCAAUCGCACAACUUUUUUCGGCCACGCAUACUCAUCAAGCCUUUCAUGGCGGUGAAGAGGCUGCAGUAUCUUCAUCAUUGCCUUUGGCAAAGCGCAGUGUACUAGGUGGACUGCUCCCAGAAUCACUGCUGUAUGUCUUAGAACGUAGUGGUCCUUCUGCUUUUGCUGCCGCAAUGGUGUCUGAUUCUGACACACCAGAGAUUAUAUGGACCCACAAAAUGAGGGCAGAACAUCUUAUCCGCCAGGUUCUGCAGCAUCUCGGUGAUUUUUCUCAGAAAUUGGCUCAACAUUGCCAUUCAUUGUAUGAUUAUGCUCCUAUGCCACCUGUGACCUACCCGAAUCUGAAAGAUGAGAUGUGGUGCCAUCGUUACUACCUUCGGAACCUAUGUGAUGAAAUCAGGUUUCCUAACUGGCCCAUUGUUGAACACGUAGAGUUUUUGCAGUCACUACUGGCAAUGUGGCGUGAAGAGUUAACUCGCCGUCCAAUGGAUUUGUCUGAAGAAGAAGCCUGCAAGAUACUGGAGAUUACUCUCGAUGAUCUUGUAAUUGGCGAGAAGGGUAGUAGCAAAAAGUCAUCCGAGUUAAAUCUGGCCAGUUUGGCAAAAAAUAUUGAAAACAUCGACGAAGAGAAGCUUAAGCGCCAAUACCGGAAGCUGGCAAUAAAAUACCACCCAGACAAGAACCCUGAGGGAAGAGAAAAGUUUGUUGCUGUGCAAAAGGCUUACGAGCGAUUGCAGGCAAGUAUGCAAGGAUUGCAGGGACCACAGCUCUGGAGGCUGAUACUCUUACUUAAGGCACAGUGUAUCUUGUACAAGAGAUAUGGACAUGUCUUGGAACCAUUCAAAUAUGCUGGCUAUCCUAUGUUGCUAAAUGCAGUUACUGUAGACAAGGAUGAUAGCAAUUUCCUUUCAUCUGAUAGAGCCCCUCUUUUGAUAGCCGCUUCAGAGCUGAUUUGGCUGACAUGUUCAUCAUCUUCACUAAAUGGAGAAGAGCUUAUACGAGACAGCGGUAUCCCGUUGUUGGCAACACUGCUUUCACGUUGCAUGUGCAUCGUUCAGCCCACAACUCCGGCACAUGAACCAGCGGCUAAAAUAGUCACCAAUAUAAUGCACACAUUUUCAGCGCUCAGCCUGUUUGAGUCAGGAAGAGUUGAGAUUCUUACGUUUGCUGGCCUUGUUGAGGACAUUGUGCACUGUACAGAACUUGAAUUUGUUCCAUCGGCUGUGGAUGCUGCUCUGCAGACAGCUGCUAAUGUUUCAGUUUCAUCUGAACUGCAAAAUGCUCUGCUUGCCGCUGGCUUUUUAUGGUUUGUCUUGCCCUUACUGCUUCAAUACGAUUCAACAGCAGAAGAGAAUGAGACAAAUGAAUCACAUGGUGUUGGGGCAAGGGUGCAGAUUGCCAAAAAUCUUCAUGCAGUACAUGCAGCUCAGGCUUUGUCAAAGCUUUGUGGUCUUGGUGGUGACGGAAUAUCAAGCCCAUCUAACUUUCCUGCUUUCAAUACAUUAAGAGCACUUCUUACUCCCAAGCUUGCUGACAUGCUGAGAAACCGGCCACCCAAAGAUCUAUUAUCAAAUCUGAAUUCAAACUUGGAGUCACCAGAGAUCAUAUGGAAUUCUUCAACCAGAGGAGAGCUCCUCAAAUUUGUAGAUCAGCAGCGAACUAGCCAAGGUCCCGAUGGUUCGUACGAUUUGACAGAAUCAGAGUCUUUCAACUAUGAAGCUUUGUCAAAAGAAUUGAAUGUUGGUGAUGUCUACUUGAGAGUUUACAACAAUCAACCAGAUUAUGAAAUAAGUGAUCAGGAAGGAUUUUGCAUUGCUCUUCUUAAGUUUAUAGCAGGUCUAGUGCAAAAGUGGAAUUCCAUAAAUUCGGAGGAAAAUAUGACGCAUGAACAUGAUUCGGUUAUUGAUACAUCUACUGAAAAUGGUGGAGCCAGUGAUUCAACUAAUGAAGGAAAAGAGGAUAAUUCAUUUGAAAAAGGCGGUAAAUAUGAAACUGGCGGAGAUUGUGAAGUUAUUACAAACCUCAGAAGUGGGUUAACAUCGCUUCAGAAUCUUCUGACAAGUAAUCCAGGCUUGGCUGCUGUUUUUGCUUCCAAGGAACGAUUGACACCUCUAUUUGAAUGCCUUGCGCUGCCUGUUCCUCCUGAAAGCAAUAUUCCACAAAUUUGUUUAAGUGUUCUUUCUCUCUUGACAAAGCAUGCUCCUUGUUUGGAGGCCAUGGUCGCAGAAAGGACGAGUCUCAUUUUGCUAUUUCAGAUACUACACUGCAAUCCUUCUUGUAGGGAUGGGGCGCUUGCUGUCCUCUAUUCUUUGGCCAGCACGCCAGAGUUGGCCUGGGCUGCUGCCAAGCAUGGUGGUGUAGUGUACAUUCUCGAACUUAUGUUACCCCUUCAAGAGGAAAUCCCUAUGCAGCAAAGAGCUGCAGCUGCAUCCUUAUUGGGCAAACUCGCUGGGCAGCCGAUGCAUGGUCCCAGGGUGGCCAUCACACUUGCUAGAUUCUUGCCCGAUGGUUUGGUUUCUGCAAUUAGAGAUGGACCUGGUGAAGCUGUUGUUUCAUCUCUUGAACAGACAACAGAAACUCCUGAACUUGUAUGGACACCUGCAAUGGCAGCUUCUCUUUCUGCGCAGCUGUCUACCAUGGCGGCAGACCUUUACCAAGAGCAGAUGAAAGGACGUCUUGUUGAUUGGGAUGUGCCGGAACAACCAUCUGGCCAACAUGUAAUGAAGGAUGAACCACAGGUUGGUGGAAUAUAUGUGAGACUUUUCCUAAAGGAUCCCAAGUUUCCACUGAGAAACCCUAAAAGAUUCCUUGAAGGGCUCCUAGAUCAGUAUGUUUCUUCAGUUGCUGCUACCCACUAUGAAGCAAAUGCAGUUGAUCCAGAACUUCCUUUGCUGCUUUCUGCCGCACUUGUUUCUUUGUUGCGUGUUCAUCCGGCACUUGCAGACCAUGUUGGUUACCUAGGUUAUGUUCCAAAGCUAGUUGCAGCUAUGGCUUAUGAGGGAAGAAGGGAGACUAUGGCAUCUGGACAGGACACAAGUAGAGCGCAAGCAGAACCUAUUGAGCACGAUAACUCUGAUGGUGUCCCUGAGACCACUGUGCAGACUCCACAAGAGAGGGUUCGCCUUAGUUGUUUGCGAGUACUACAUCAGCUGGCGUCUAGCACCACUUGUGCUGAAGCUAUGGCGGCAACAAGUGCAGGAACUCCUCAGGUUGUUGCACUGCUUAUGAAAGCAAUUGGAUGGCAAGGUGGAAGUAUACUGGCAUUAGAGACACUAAAGCGUGUUGUUGGCGCUGGUAAUCGAGCUAGAGACGCGCUUGUUGCACAAGGGUUAAAGGUUGGUCUUGUUGAUGUGCUCCUUGGCAUUCUUGACUGGCGAGCUGGUGGAAGGCAGGGACUCUGUAACCAAAUGAAGUGGAAUGAAUCAGAGGCUUCAAUUGGGCGUGUACUAGCAGUGGAGGUACUUCAUGCUUUUGCAACGGAAGGCGCUCACUGUGCUAAAGUUCGAGAAAUCCUUAAUUCUUCUGAUGUAUGGAGCGCUUACAAAGACCAGAAACAUGACCUGUUUCUUCCAUCCAACGCACAAACUUCUGCUGCCGGAGUUGCAGGGCUUAUUGAGAGCUCAUCUUCAAGGCUCACCUAUGCCCUCACGGCGGCGCCCUCGUCUCAACCCGCCCUGGUCCGUCUACCAUCGUCUUCUCCUCCUCCAUCGACUGGUCCUGUAAAUCCUGCCAGCGGGCGGCGGCAUUCGUAG